ACCGCCUGAGCACUCGGGCGCCAGGCGGUGACACCGCUCGGUUUGGCGGUGGCACCGACCGAGCGACCUUUAUUAACCCGAGGGGUUAGGGCCGGCGGUGACACCGCCCCCAACCCGAAGAAAAAGCUAUCAAAGCCCUCUCCCAUUCCCCCUAACCCUCAUUCUAACUCUUAGAAGCAUUGGAGAAGGAUUCUUGGUGGUCCAAGCUCUCCAUCUCUCAA
Molecule: long non-coding RNA, 221 nt
Filed under: Musa acuminata (dwarf banana)
Lineage: Eukaryota; Viridiplantae; Streptophyta; Magnoliopsida; Zingiberales; Musaceae
Description: long non-coding RNA (MACU_LNC008466)
Source: RNAcentral